UACGGAGGGUGCAAGCGUUGUCCGGAAUUAUUGGGUUUAAAGGGUGCGUAGGCGGUUUUUUAAGUCUGAGUUGAAAUCCCACAGCUUAACUGUGGAACUGGCUUGGAUACUGGAAAACUUGAGUAUGGUUGAGGUAGGCGGAAUUUAUGAUGUAGCGGUGAAAUGCAUAGAUAUCAUAAAGAACACCGAUUGCGAAGGCAGCUUACUAGACCAUAACUGACGCUGAGGCACGAAAGCGUGGGGAGCGAACAGG
RNAcentral lists this ribosomal RNA (253 nucleotides) under uncultured bacterium. Its description in RNAcentral is "partial 16S ribosomal RNA". It matches the Rfam family "Bacterial small subunit ribosomal RNA", at positions 524 to 776 of the family's 1533-position model. The record is from RNAcentral.